Molecule: ribosomal RNA, 1618 nt
Filed under: Salmonella enterica subsp. enterica serovar Havana
Lineage: Bacteria; Pseudomonadati; Pseudomonadota; Gammaproteobacteria; Enterobacterales; Enterobacteriaceae
Description: partial 23S ribosomal RNA
Rfam family: Bacterial large subunit ribosomal RNA
Source: RNAcentral
AAUCCAUAGGUUAAUGAGGCGAACCGGGGGAACUGAAACAUCUAAGUACCCCGAGGAAAAGAAAUCAACCGAGAUUCCCCCAGUAGCGGCGAGCGAACGGGGAGGAGCCCAGAGCCUGAAUCAGCAUGUGUGUUAGUGGAAGCGUCUGGAAAGGCGCGCGAUACAGGGUGACAGCCCCGUACACAAAAGCGCAUGUGCUGUGAGCUCGAUGAGUAGGGCGGGACACGUGGUAUCCUGUCUGAAUAUGGGGGGACCAUCCUCCAAGGCUAAAUACUCCUGACUGACCGAUAGUGAACCAGUACCGUGAGGGAAAGGCGAAAAGAACCCCGGCGAGGGGAGUGAAAAAGAACCUGAAACCGUGUACGUACAAGCAGUGGGAGCACAGGUUUACCUGUGUGACUGCGUACCUUUUGUAUAAUGGGUCAGCGACUUAUAUUCUGUAGCAAGGUUAACCGAAUAGGGGAGCCGGAGGGAAACCGAGUCUUAAUUGGGCGUUAAGUUGCAGGGUAUAGACCCGAAACCCGGUGAUCUAGCCAUGGGCAGGUUGAAGGUUGGGUAACACUAACUGGAGGACCGAACCGACUAAUGUUGAAAAAUUAGCGGAUGACCUGUGGCUGGGGGUGAAAGGCCAAUCAAACCGGGAGAUAGCUGGUUCUCCCCGAAAGCUAUUUAGGUAGCGCCUCGUGAAUUCAUCUCCGGGGGUAGAGCACUGUUUCGGCUAGGGGGCCAUCCCGGCUUACCAACCCGAUGCAAACUGCGAAUACCGGAGAAUGUUAUCACGGGAGACACACGGCGGGUGCUAACGUCCGUCGUGAAGAGGGAAACAACCCAGACCGCCAGCUAAGGUCCCAAAGUCAUGGUUAAGUGGGAAACGAUGUGGGAAGGCCCAGACAGCCAGGAUGUUGGCUUAGAAGCAGCCAUCAUUUAAAGAAAGCGUAAUAGCUCACUGGUCGAGUCGGCCUGCGCGGAAGAUGUAACGGGGCUAAACCAUGCACCGAAGCUGCGGCAGCGAACGUAUCACUUAAAGCGAUUCAGCGGGUUACGAUUGACGGAGCGAAGCGACGUCAAAGCGUAUACAAAGUCGAGUCGGUUUAAGGAUACGUUCGUUGGGUAGGGGAGCGUUCUGUAAGCCUGUGAAGGUGGCCUGUGAGGGUUGCUGGAGGUAUCAGAAGUGCGAAUGCUGACAUAAGUAACGAUAAAGCGGGUGAAAAGCCCGCUCGCCGGAAGACCAAGGGUUCCUGUCCAACGUUAAUCGGGGCAGGGUGAGUCGACCCCUAAGGCGAGGCCGAAAGGCGUAGUCGAUGGGAAACGGGUUAAUAUUCCCGUACUUGGUGUUACUGCGAAGGGGGGACGGAGAAGGCUAUGUUGGCCGGGCGACGGUUGUCCCGGUUUAAGCGUGUAGGUGUGUGUUCCAGGUAAAUCCGGUUCACUUUAACACUGAGGCGUGACGACGAGGCACUACGGUGCUGAAGCAACAAAUGCCCUGCUUCCAGGAAAAGCCUCUAAGCAUCAGGUAACAUCAAAUCGUACCCCAAACCGACACAGGUGGUCAGGUAGAGAAUACCAAGGCGCUUGAGAGAACUCGGGUGAAGGAACUAGGCAAAAUGGUGCCGUAACU